GAUGAACGCUGGCGGCGUGCCUAAUACAUGCAAGUCGAGCGAACGGACGAGAAGCUUGCUUUUCUGAUGUUAGCGGCGGACGGGUGAGUAACACGUGGAUAACCUACCUAUAAGACUGGGAUAACUUCGGGAAACCGGAGCUAAUACCGGAUAAUAUUUUGAACCGCAUGGUUCAAAAGUGAAAGAUGGUCUUGCUGUCACUUAUAGAUGGAUCCGCGCUGCAUUAGCUAGUUGGUAAGGUAACGGCUUACCAAGGCAACGAUGCAUAGCCGACCUGAGAGGGUGAUCGGCCACACUGGAACUGAGACACGGUCCAGACUCCUACGGGAGGCAGCAGUAGGGAAUCUUCCGCAAUGGGCGAAAGCCUGACGGAGCAACGCCGCGUGAGUGAUGAAGGUCUUCGGAUCGUAAAACUCUGUUAUUAGGGAAGAACAUAUGUGUAAGUAACUGUGCACAUCUUGACGGUACCUAAUCAGAAAGCCACGGCUAACUACGUGCCAGCAGCCGCGGUAAUACGUAGGUGGCAAGCGUUAUCCGGAAUUAUUGGGCGUAAAGCGCGCGUAGGCGGUUUUUUAAGUCUGAUGUGAAAGCCCACGGCUCAACCGUGGAGGGUCAUUGGAAACUGGAAAACUUGAGUGCAGAAGAGGAAAGUGGAAUUCCAUGUGUAGCGGUGAAAUGCGCAGAGAUGUGGAGGAACACCAGUGGCGAAGGCGACUUUCUGGUCUGUAACUGACGCUGAUGUGCGAAAGCGUGGGGAUCAAACAGGAUUAGAUACCCUGGUAGUCCACGCCGUAAACGAUGAGUGCUAAGUGUUAGGGGGUUUCCGCCCCUUAGUGCUGCAGCUAACGCAUUAAGCACUCCGCCUGGGGAGUACGACCGCAAGGUUGAAACUCAAAGGAAUUGACGGGGGCCCGCACAAGCGGUGGAGCAUGUGGUUUAAUUCGAAGCAACGCGAAGAACCUUACCAAAUCUUGACAUCCUUUGACAACUCUAGAGAUAGAGCCUUCCCCUUCGGGGGACAAAGUGACAGGUGGUGCAUGGUUGUCGUCAGCUCGUGUCGUGAGAUGUUGGGUUAAGUCCCGCAACGAGCGCAACCCUUAAGCUUAGUUGCCAUCAUUAAGUUGGGCACUCUAAGUUGACUGCCGGUGACAAACCGGAGGAAGGUGGGGAUGACGUCAAAUCAUCAUGCCCCUUAUGAUUUGGGCUACACACGUGCUACAAUGGACAAUACAAAGGGCAGCGAAACCGCGAGGUCAAGCAAAUCCCAUAAAGUUGUUCUCAGUUCGGAUUGUAGUCUGCAACUCGACUACAUGAAGCUGGAAUCGCUAGUAAUCGUAGAUCAGCAUGCUACGGUGAAUACGUUCCCGGGUCU
This 1372-nucleotide ribosomal RNA is filed under the name uncultured bacterium. RNAcentral describes it as "bacterial SSU rRNA". It matches the Rfam family "Bacterial small subunit ribosomal RNA", at positions 28 to 1381 of the family's 1533-position model. The record is from RNAcentral.